Empidonax traillii (willow flycatcher) is the source of this 164-nucleotide long non-coding RNA. RefSeq lists it as uncharacterized. Lineage: Eukaryota; Metazoa; Chordata; Aves; Passeriformes; Tyrannidae. The record is from RefSeq and is a predicted model, not a curated record. The transcript is spliced from 3 exons.
GGUCUGCUGGCCAGGGAGAUGUGCCGUGCCUCAAGCCCCUUGUGUUCCCCAGUUGCCCUCUGCCUGCUGGGGCUGCUGAGCAGGGAGAAGCCCCGCUGGGAGGUUCCCGCCAUGGCCUUCCUUGUGGAGGUCCUUGACUGCCUGGACAUGACUGAAUGUGGGGA